This 529-nucleotide ribosomal RNA is filed under the name Zizula hylax. RNAcentral's name for it is "partial 16S ribosomal RNA". The stretch from base 398 to 529 matches the Rfam family "Archaeal large subunit ribosomal RNA", at positions 2542 to 2674 of the family's 2987-position model. The record is from RNAcentral. Lineage: Eukaryota; Metazoa; Arthropoda; Insecta; Lepidoptera; Lycaenidae.
AACAUGUNUUUUUGAUUUAAUUAAUUUAAAGUCUAAUCUGCCCACUGAUUUAUUGAUUAAAGGGCUGCAGUAAUUUGACUGUACAAAGGUAGCAUAAUCAUUAGUCUUUUAAUUGGAGACUUGUAUGAAAGAUUUGAUGAAAUAUAAACUGUCUCUAAUUUAUUAUUAUUAGAAUUUAAUUUUUUAGUUAAAAAGCUAAAAUAAAUUUAAAAGACGAGAAGACCCUAUAGAGUUUAAUAGUUUUUAAUUUAAAAUAUUUAUAUAAAAUUUUAAUAUUUAAUUUUAUAAAUUAUUUUGUUGGGGUGAUAAAAAAAUAAAAAAAACUUUUUUUUUAAAUUUUCAUAGAUAAGUGAAUAAUUGAUCCAUUUUAAUGAUUAUAAGAAAAAAUUACCUUAGGGAUAACAGCGUAAUAUUUUUUUUUAGUACAAAUAAAAAAAAAAGUUUGCGACCUCGAUGUUGGAUUAAGAUAAAAUUUAAAUGCAAAAGUUUAAAAUUUUGAUCUGUUCGAUCAUUAAAAUCUUACAUGAUC